GGGUGACUAGCUCAAUGGUAGAGCAUCAGACUCUUAAUCUGCUGGUUUUGGGUUCGAGUCCCAGGUCACCCA
Molecule: transfer RNA, 72 nt
Filed under: Calothrix sp. CSU_2_0
Lineage: Bacteria; Bacillati; Cyanobacteriota; Cyanophyceae; Nostocales; Calotrichaceae
Also listed under: 1 other name
Description: tRNA-Lys
Rfam family: tRNA
About the family: Transfer RNA (tRNA) molecules are approximately 80 nucleotides in length. Their secondary structure includes four short double-helical elements and three loops (D, anti-codon, and T loops). Further hydrogen bonds mediate the characteristic L-shaped molecular structure. tRNAs have two regions of fundamental functional importance: the anti-codon, which is responsible for specific mRNA codon recognition, and the 3' end, to which the tRNAs corresponding amino acid is attached (by aminoacyl-tRNA synthetases). tRNAs cope with the degeneracy of the genetic code in two manners: having more than one tRNA (with a specific anti-codon) for a particular amino acid; and 'wobble' base-pairing, i.e. permitting non-standard base-pairing at the 3rd anti-codon position.
Source: RNAcentral